GGGUCAUACGAUGCUGAAUUUACCGGUUCUCGUUAGAUCACCAAAGUCAAGCAUCAUUGGGCGCGGUCAGUACUUGGGUGGGUGACCACCUGAGACACCGCGUGCCGUU
RNAcentral lists this ribosomal RNA (109 nucleotides) under Caerostris extrusa. The record is from RNAcentral. Lineage: Eukaryota; Metazoa; Arthropoda; Arachnida; Araneae; Araneidae.